CUCAGGUGAUCCACCCGCCUCAGCCUCCCAGAGUGCUGGGAUUACAGGCAUGAGCCACUGCGCCCGGCCAGGCAGGCUAAUUCUUUCUGGUGUGGUCCUGUCCUGUACUUACCAGGAUGCAGGAUAUCCACAUCUCCCAGCCACAAACUUCAGUAACAUUCCCAGUCAUUAUUACAAUCACAAUACCCCCAUAGGUUUCCAAGGACAUGGGAGAGAGGGGAGGAUCAUGCUACCCUCCAGUUAUAAACCACUGUUUUUCCCCCACCUUGUGUGGUCUCCAUUCUCAAGUUUACUUCAUGAUCCAAAAUGACUGCUUGAGCUCCAGCUUUUUUUUUUUUUUUUUUUUUUGAGAUGGAGUCUUGUUCUGUCACCCAGGCCAGAGUGCAGUGGCGCAAUCUCGGCUCACUGCAACCUCUGCCUCCGAGGUUCAAGCAAUUAUCCUGCCUCAGCCUCCCAAGUAGCUGGGACUACAGGCACAUGCCACCAUGCCCAGCUAAUUUUUGUAUUUGUUUUUUUUUUUUUUAGUAGAGACGGGGUUUCACCAUAUUGGCCAGGAUAGUCUUGAUCUCUUGACCUCAUGAUCUGCCCACCUCGGCCUCCUAAAGUGCUGGGAUUACAGGCGUCAGCCACCGCGCCCAGCUUUUUUUUUUUUUUUUUUAAACAGGGUCUUGCUUUGUCACCCAGGCUGGAGUGCAGUGAUGCCAUCACAAAUCAUUGCAGCCUCAACCUCCUGGGCUCAAGUGAUCCUCCCACCUCAGCCUCUCUAGUAGCUGGGACUACAGGCAAGCCACCAUGCCGGACUAAUUUUUUGUAUUUUUAGUAGAGACGGGGUUUCACCGUGUUAGCCAGGAUGGUCUCGAUCUCCUGACCUCGUGAUCCGCCUGCCUCGGCCUCCCAAAGUGCUGGGAUUACAGGUGUGAGCCACCACGCCCGGCCUCGUUUUCUUACCUAUGUUGUGUUUUAGUUCCUGUGCUCCUGUGCCUGUCUGCUGUGCUGAGCUGCAGAUGUGUCCUGCCGCAGCUUUGCAGGACAGGGAUAAGUUGAGACGUGAAGCAAGAAGCCUUGCCUGUCAGGCUGCCCUUGGCAUGACUAGAGUGUAUGUGAGGAUUUUCACCUCUUAUUUUGGGGUCCGUUCUGUUCCUUCUUUGAACAAUAGUCUUUACAGGAUAGGGUGUUUGGGGACAGAUCAUCUUAUUUUAGAUAUAAAUAAAAAUUAACCCACUAUAAAUUUAUUUUUCAUUUAAAAAAAUUUUUUAAAGACAGGCUGUCACUCCCCCCCACAGGCUGGAGUGUGGUGGUAUAGUCAUAGCUCACUGCAGCCUUGAACUCUUGGGCUCAAGCCAUCAUCCCACCUCACACUCUUUCCCUGCCAGGCACCCCUUCUUUUUAAGGAUACUUCCUGGAAGCUAGUUGCCUACUCUCCCCCCUCCUACAUCCCAUGUACCAGAACUGUGGUCAUGUGGACAUGCUUAGCUGCAAAAGAGAAUGGAAAAUUCUUGCAGGCAGCGUGUGGCCAGCUCAGUUCACCAGCACUGUCACUGAAGAAUGAGAGGCUGUCAGCUGCAUGGGGGCAGUGAUUGUGUUUAUCUCUUCCCAGUGUCUAAAAUGGUGCUUGGCACACAGUAGGCACUUAAUAAGUAUACAUUGAAUGGGCCAGGCGCAGUGGCUCAUGCCUGUAAUCCCAGCACUUUGGGAGGCCGAAGCGGGUGGAUCACCUGAGGUCAGGAGUUGGAGACCAGCCUGGCCAACCUGGUGAAACCCCAUCUCUACUAAAAGUACACAAAUUAGCUGGGGUGGUGGUACGCACCUGUAAUCCCAGGUACUUGGGAGGCUGAGGCACAAGAAUCACUUGAACCCAAGAGGCGAAGGUUGCAGGGAGCCGAGAUCAUGCCACUGCACUCCAGCCUGGGUGACAGAGACUUUGUCUCAAAAAAAAAAAAAAAGGAUAUGUUGAAUGAAUGCGUGAGUGGAUAGUGGGGGAGACCAGGGAUCUGCUCCAGGAUAAACACCACACAGAAUGGCCAUCAGGAUCUGGGAGGAUGUAGAGUUUGCAGAGGAAGAUAGCCUUGCAGGGACCACAGCACAGUGACACACGCUCUGGCACCAUGGAACCACUGAGGGCACUGUCGUGGGCAGCAGGCAGACCUGAGUCCAAGUGUGGCUCCACCACUCACUAGCUGUGUGACCUUGGGCAAGCCCCUUACCUCUUUGAGCCUGUACAUGCUCAUCAGAUAAAGCAUGGGUCAUACCAAAUCCUUCUGCCUUACAGGGCUGUUGUGAGGAUUACCGAGUGCCUAGCACAGUGCCUGGCCUGCAGUAAGUGCUUUAUAAAUGUUAAAUAAUGUUAA
This is a long non-coding RNA of Symphalangus syndactylus (siamang), 2348 nucleotides long. RefSeq lists it as uncharacterized. Lineage: Eukaryota; Metazoa; Chordata; Mammalia; Primates; Hylobatidae. The record is from RefSeq and is a predicted model, not a curated record.